This 345-nucleotide unclassified non-coding RNA is filed under the name fungal sp. RNAcentral describes it as "partial internal transcribed spacer region". The stretch from base 1 to 46 matches the Rfam family "Eukaryotic small subunit ribosomal RNA", at positions 1786 to 1831 of the family's 1831-position model. Lineage: Eukaryota; Fungi. The record is from RNAcentral.
AAGUCGUAACAAGGUCUCCGUAGGUGAACCUGCGGAGGGAUCAUUAACACAGAGGGGAGGGCAGCUGCAACUGCGGCUGCCUAUCUUUUCUUCUAUACACCCAUCUGUCGUGAACUAUUAUGACCCUUUUUCUGUUCUUUUGCAUUUCAGCGCCGCGAGCAAUUGCAGCUGAAUUUGCAACUGAAUGUUUCAUUUUUGUAACUGCAAACCCUUUCCAAUUGAUUUCCAAAUGAAAUCAACGCUUGUAACUGUGUUGUGUGUUUUCGCUGGGCAACUAGCGUGCACCACUCUUACGAACUAGAACAAAUUAGAGUACAACUCUUAGCAACGGAUAUCUUGGUUCUC